RNAcentral lists this ribosomal RNA (440 nucleotides) under uncultured bacterium. Its description in RNAcentral is "partial 16S ribosomal RNA". It matches the Rfam family "Bacterial small subunit ribosomal RNA", at positions 338 to 795 of the family's 1533-position model. The record is from RNAcentral.
CCUACGUGUGGCAGCAGUGGGGGAUAUUGCACAAUGGGGGGAACCCUGAUGCAGCGACGCCGCGUGAGCGAUGGAUUACUUCGGUAUGUCAAGCUCUGUCAGCAGGGAAGAAAAUGACGGUACCUGACCAAGAAGCCCCGGCUAAAGACGUUCCAGCAGCCGCGGUAAUACGUAUGGGGCAAGCGUUAUCCGGAUUUACUGGGUGGAAAGGGAGCGUAGGCGGCAGGGCAAGCCUGAUGGGAAAGUCCGGGGCUGAACCCCGGGACGGAAUUGGGAACUGCCCUUCUGGAGUGCCGGAGGGGCAGGCGGAAUUCCUAGUGUAGCGGUGAAAUGCGUAGAUAUUAGGAGGAACACCAGCGGCGAAGGCGGCCUGCUGGACGGUGACUGACGCUGAGGCUCGAAAGCGUGGGGAGCAAACAGGAUUAGAUACCCGAGUAGUC